ACCUAUUAAUAUCAAAGGUUGUGAAUGUAGUGAGAAUAUUGUAGACACUCUCUCAUCUGGGUAUAUUUUGUGAGUGGACUCUGGUUAGUUUUACUGAUUGGUGCUGUUGACUUAAUCUCACCUGCUGGAUGGCAGAGGAGUUAUGGCAGUUUUAAAGUGGAAGAUCUCAGGAUGGCUGGAAAGAGCCCUAUCAGCUGAGAGCAGUCUUCACCCUUCACCCUGAUGCCAGCAGUCUUACCAGGACUCUGACCCUUUUUUCUUGGAAAAUCCCACGAGCCAUGAAGAGAUUGCAAUGAUCUCUCAUAAUGAACUCUUAUUAUUUUAUGACUUGUCUUUUGCUUCAACCGCUUUCAAGAUUGAUCUUACAAUUUGGCAGAUUUUGUAAAUACUGUGGCCUUUUGUGUACCCAUUAAAUUUAUUUGCACUGAUGGUUACUUUUAUUACAAAAAAAGAUUGGUUACAGUUUAAUUUCCUUGUUCAGUGGAGGCAAUGUUCACUGCAAUGUGUGAAUGCCAGGCCUUGCAUCCAGAUCCUGAGGAUGAGGAUUCAGAUGACUACGAUGGAGAAGAAUAUGAUGUGGAAGCACAUGAACAAGGACAGGGGGACAUCCCUACAUUUUA
RNAcentral lists this small RNA (620 nucleotides) under Pan troglodytes (chimpanzee). RNAcentral's name for it is "retained intron". Lineage: Eukaryota; Metazoa; Chordata; Mammalia; Primates; Hominidae. The record is from RNAcentral.